Molecule: ribosomal RNA, 253 nt
Filed under: uncultured bacterium
Lineage: Bacteria
Description: partial 16S ribosomal RNA
Rfam family: Bacterial small subunit ribosomal RNA
Source: RNAcentral
UACGUAGGGUGCAAGCGUUAAUCGGAAUUACUGGGCGUAAAGCGUGCGCAGGCGGUUAUGUAAGACAGGUGUGAAAUCCCCGGGCUUAACCUGGGAACUGCAUUUGUGACUGUAUAGCUAGAGUACGGUAGAGGGGGAUGGAAUUCCGCGUGUAGCAGUGAAAUGCGUAGAUAUGCGGAGGAACACCGAUGGCGAAGGCAAUCCCCUGGACCUGUACUGACGCUCAUGCACGAAAGCGUGGGGAGCAAACAGG